Chelonoidis abingdonii (Abingdon island giant tortoise) is the source of this 126-nucleotide non-coding RNA. The record is from RefSeq and is a predicted model, not a curated record. NCBI's taxonomy places the organism in Eukaryota, Metazoa, Chordata, Testudines, Testudinidae.
AGGGAGGGGGCAGAGCUAUGAAUGAUGAAAGCGGUUACCAGCCGUUCAGUACCAUCUACUGGGAAUCACCGGGAGUCAUUCCUAUUUUUUACCCAGGCGCCCCCGGCCAGCCUCACUGAGGCCAGC